RNAcentral lists this ribosomal RNA (253 nucleotides) under uncultured bacterium. RNAcentral's name for it is "partial 16S ribosomal RNA". It matches the Rfam family "Bacterial small subunit ribosomal RNA", at positions 524 to 776 of the family's 1533-position model. The record is from RNAcentral.
UACGAAGGGGGCUAGCGUUGCUCGGAAUUACUGGGCGUAAAGCGCGCGUAGGCGGGUCGUUAAGUCGGGGGUGAAAUCCUGGAGCUCAACUCCAGAACUGCCUUCGAUACUGGCGAUCUUGAGUCCGGGAGAGGUGAGUGGAACUCCGAGUGUAGAGGUGAAAUUCGUAGAGAUGUGGAGGAACACCAGUGGCGAAGGCGACUCUUUGGUCUGUAACUGACGCUGAGGCGCGAAAGCGUGGGGAGCAAACAGG